This is a long non-coding RNA of Passer domesticus (house sparrow), 4668 nucleotides long. RefSeq lists it as uncharacterized. NCBI's taxonomy places the organism in Eukaryota, Metazoa, Chordata, Aves, Passeriformes, Passeridae. The record is from RefSeq and is a predicted model, not a curated record. The transcript has 2 exons.
GAUCUGCCGCCUUCCGAAAGCACUUAUUAACAGAAAACAUAAUUUGAGACAGAGAGCCUUACGUGCUUCAUAAAAGGAUAGCAACUCAUUCUUAUUUGCUUGAACACACUGGUUAUACUGUUUCCAGCUGGUGAAUCUCUUGGAGAUUUAACGUGGCCUGUAAAACUAGUGCAGGUUUUCCACAAAACACUGACUAGUCCCAGGGAGAUGGAGCAGAAGAGAUCCCAUGUCCACUUGAAAGAACAUUCCAGUUACAGGACUAUGAAACUGAGUCUGGAAGUGCUGAGAUGUCAGAGGACCUUUGUGUUGGGUAUCUGUUUUGCAGUUCUUUUAGUUCUCAGUCAACAAAACAGGUCUCACAUCAAAGUCAAACUGAACCUAUUUUCAAGUUAGACUUUGUGAAAUACUACAUCAAAAGCUGUUGUCAAAUGUACAUACUCUGCUUCCUUCUCUCCUCCCUUCACUCCUCUAUUCUGCACCCACUGCAGUCCCGUCACUCAUCAGCACAGGGGAAACUCUUCACCUCCAGGACUACCCACACAAGGAACAUCACAAAUCAGACCAUACUUCUAUCAAAUGAAGCUCCCUUGCACAUCUGACAUAUUUCUUCUCAUUAUUAGGAAUCUGGAUCUUAAAAACCAUUCAUUAGCAUGCCAAGGUUAUGUUUCCCCAAUUCACUGCAGUCGGUUACCCCUCACCUUCUCUCCUUGCUGCCCCACCCAAGCUGGCCUGCCUGCUCAGCUAACUCAAUGGGAACAGUUUGACCAAGGACAAGCAUUUUUGAAAAUCCCUUUCAGAGUACCUACACACUGAGGCAUUUCUUCCACUAUCCACUGGAGAACAGCCCCAGCAGGUAGAGUUGCUGCACAAAAGCAACCGAGACCUUCAGAUGUAUUUCAACACCCUGCUUGUUUCUUCUUAAUUGUCCAGAAUCUUGUUUGCUUUUAUUAAAAACAAGUAAUUCCAGGUAAUUUCCCUCAACCAUCUAAGCUGCUUUCAACUGAUAUCCCAAUGCUUGUGCAUUUACAUUUGCUGAGUACUCCUUGUCUACACUUUCCCAACAGCCACUUUUAUAUCAAGAAUUUCUGGGUCCUAUUAAUCUUCUCUGCAAUUUUAUGGUUAAAGAUUAACAACAACAUGGCAUUUUAGAUUUCUCGCUCGUUAUUUCCAUCUCUUUCUCCUAUAACAUUUUAAUGUAUUUUUAGAGUACGUUUUAUUCUCUAUUAAUUCUUUGGGCUGGUCCAAGACUGUCUCCUUAUAAAUGAAGGAGCUGAAUGGGUGGAAGAGUGGGAUAAUGCCUCUUCAUUAGGUCUACCUGAAAAUGUUCUUCUUCCUCCUUGCCUUUGAUUUCUUCAGUCAAAGAGGAAAGCUUAAACUUCUGGGCAAACACACACCAGGAUUUCUGUGCUUGGUACCUGGACACACUGCCUAGCCAGCACCCUACUUAAGUGUCCCACGGCUGUCCUGAGCACAAUCAAAUAGAAUUUGGGCACUCUUCUAUGUCUUAUCUGAGUCGCACUCAACUGUUUUGCACACAUACAAGUCCAUCUUUCUAUACUUUUUAACUCUGCUUCAAUAGCAGCGCUUUUGAAACAAAUAGCAGUUUGUUUAUGAGCUUGCAUUCCUGCAUCCAAGAGCCCAGUGUCUUCCCAAGGCAGCAUCAAAGGCUGGUUGUGGAAGCUUCAAAGAAAAGUUCUGGCUGAUGGAAAAGAACAUUUGUAGAUCUGUGGAGUAAUAGAUAAAUAAAGCCAAGGGAAAUCCAGGCUCAAAGGAGAGGCCCAGCUUGAAAGGAGCUGUUAGGAUAAAUGCCACUUAGUUAUGGAAGGGUUGAAAAUACAAGGGUAGAAUUAUAAGAUAGUGGCAAUUUCCAGAUUUUCAAGACAAGCACAGUAUUUUUUGUAAGACAAAGGGCCUCAUCUACUGUCAUCUUUAAACUACAGAGAGAACCCAAAUCAUGGGUCUUCUAAUAUGCAGUAUGCCAGGAGAUUUCUGAGACUGAAGCUCUGAGUUGUGGUUCAGUCAGUGACCUCAGAGCUGACAGCCAUUACUCCCCUUGCCUGUCUCAGCUCUGCCAGCCUCUGCAGAUGCUCUACUGAGCUGGUUCCACCCUCUCAGUCAGCAGAACUAUUCCCUUUUCUUUGUUGAGGUGAGUUUUGUGCUGAUGCAACAAGUUAAAUCAGUUCAAUGCAAGAUUAGACAAUCACCAGGUCUAACGUCAGAGGAGCAAGGAAAAGAGGAACAAGAUUUUUCUCAUCCACUGGAAGCAAGCCAUUAACGUGACUCAGGUUGUAACAGGUAACUCUACCCUGACAGGCAGAUUCUCAGGGGGUUAAGCCAAGACAAGACUGUGCUACUGGCAAAAGUCAUCAUUCCAUCCUUUCCCCUUUCCUUAGUCAUGCUUUCCUGAUGCCUCCUCUCUGCUGGCUACGACACUCAUGCAGCCACAUGUUAAGCCAGAUCAGCUUGCCAACAGAGCUGAAAGCUAAUCCAGUUUACAGAAAAAAAAAAAAGUUUCCAGCAGGAUCAAUUUUGGCAGCCAGCUGAUCCUGCAGCCGAACAAACACCAGUGCCAGGAUAAGCCAGUGAGAAGGCCUGUUUUGGUGGCAGCCUGCACACACGUCAGCAUAAACCAGAAGUGCCCCCACAGGCCAUAAUUUCACAAAUGCUUCCAGCCAGCUAUUGCCAGCACUGCUGCCAAAAGUAACAGAGCCUUGCCCUCGGCCACACCAGCUGCUCAUUCCAGGCUCCAGGCACCCGCUGUGCUUUGCUGGAGAAGAACUGAUUGAUAAAUAUAGCUGGAGUUAAAAGCAGCAUUUUUUUUCCUCCCAAAUUUGUAUUCCACAUCAGUAAAGCACCUCUGAACCAAAGACCUGCUGGAUUGUAAUUGCCUCCUGAGGUGAAGCUCUGGGGAAAAGAGGUGAGUUGAGGGCAUUUUACAGUCUUAUCCUUGGCUGCAAACCUGCUUUCCCACUAAGGCUAAGGCUUCAUGUCCCGUUACAGAGGUGUCAGAGCACACACAGAAUACACUCCAGCUUCGGGACAGAGACUUCUCCAAGGACUCUGCUUUAUUCAGCUGUGCUGGGGUGUAAAUGCCUCCACAAAGCACACGGCAGCAGAGAAGCAAGUCUGAUUGCUUUUUACUUGCAGGACAAAGAGGAAUUAUUUCUCUGAGAAUGGAUUAGUCACGUAUUACACUGUUGUUAUGUGUGCUGCCACAACAGAAGAGAGCUGCCCUCUCCUGCAAAUUUGGCCUAUCAGGGAACCUUUCUGAAACAUACUUGUCUGAAGCCAGUAGAUGUACUUUGCAGGGCUAAUGAGAGACAGUUUUAUUUUGUGAAUGAAGCUCUAAGCCAGAGAAUGAAACAAGUCAAUGACCAUCAUUUUCCUUCAGCAGCUCCUUCAAAUAAGUCUGCAUUUGUGAAAUGGAUGGAAGUGGUUGUGUUCUACUAGCAUGGUUCCCAGACAAAAUGUCUCUGCUGCUACUGUUCAAAGAAAUAAAGUUAAAACACUGCAAGCAGCAAACGUGUCUAGGCAUGCUGAGCAUAAUUUUGCAUCCAGUGUGGGAGGGUCCAAAAUAUUUGGCCACCUCAAGUGAAAGAAAUGAACAUUCAAGUAAGGCAGAAGCUGAAUUAACCCUUGAUUACCAAGCACAAUUAUACUUCUAAAUAUUGAAAGCAAGAUCUUAAUUUCUUUGUGGCAGUUCUUUGUGCACUGUAAAGCUUUUGGUGCUCACACACUCUAUAAAAAACCUGACAAAUGCAUUUACAAAUACAGUGCUAUCCUCCGGCAACUGUUCACCUUAUCCUUCAAGAAAGGCACAGGAGUAAGGCACAUUUCUUACCAGCUGACUUUUGCCUCACUUCCACCACACCAGCGUAUAUUCUGCUUCCCUGUGUCCCACGCCAGAGGCUUCACUCGGGGCACACAAACACCUCUGCGGCCGCUCCUGCUCCUCGCGCACCAGCGUGCCACCAGCCGCUGCCAGAGGCUCUGCCUCUGCAGGGGGACAGGAUGGGCACAAGGAUGAGCGGGUCCCGGAGGUUUCCCACCUGCCGUGCACACGGGUGCUGGAACCAGCGAGCUCCAGAGCAGCACGGGCAGCUUUUCCAAGCGGCGGCGUGUGCUGUGCCGCACGAGGGCUGCGCUCUGCGGGCCUGGAAAACCAGCCUCUCCAGUUCAGAGGGGAUGGAGCAGGAAACUGGCAGCGAGGCACAGCCAGGCACUGCUCCCCAAAGCUUCAUCCCCUUGGGUCCAACAGAUUUGGCAAUGCUGACUUCGUGUGGUGAGAUGUGUUUGUAUUCUCAGCGCUCAUUUUGGAGAAGAAAGGACAUGGUGGGGCAGAGAAAAACAUGGGACAGGGAGUCAUUUAGAGCUUAAAUCUCUAGCUAAGUUUUCUUUUUUUUUUUCUUUUAAAAAUUAUAUUAACAUUUAUCUUUCAGCAUUUACUGUAACAAACCCACAGGCAAUAAGAACCCACAGUGACUUAAAUGAGACUAAAUUUGUGAACAACAAGCUACCAGUAAGAAUCCUGAUGCCCUCCAUAUGAAAUAAAUAAACAUCAGUUUCCACCUAAUAUUUACUUCUUGGAAGUUCAAGACUAAUCCCAUUUGGCAUAUUUUAAGGAAGUGAGCUCUUGACCCCAAAUGUUUAUGGGCUGUAACAGUAAGU